This 72-nucleotide transfer RNA is filed under the name Bos taurus (domestic cattle). It matches the Rfam family "tRNA". From Rfam's summary of the family: Transfer RNA (tRNA) molecules are approximately 80 nucleotides in length. Their secondary structure includes four short double-helical elements and three loops (D, anti-codon, and T loops). Further hydrogen bonds mediate the characteristic L-shaped molecular structure. tRNAs have two regions of fundamental functional importance: the anti-codon, which is responsible for specific mRNA codon recognition, and the 3' end, to which the tRNAs corresponding amino acid is attached (by aminoacyl-tRNA synthetases). tRNAs cope with the degeneracy of the genetic code in two manners: having more than one tRNA (with a specific anti-codon) for a particular amino acid; and 'wobble' base-pairing, i.e. permitting non-standard base-pairing at the 3rd anti-codon position. RNAcentral also lists the same sequence under 4 other names. Lineage: Eukaryota; Metazoa; Chordata; Mammalia; Artiodactyla; Bovidae. The record is from Rfam by way of RNAcentral.
UCCCUACUGGCUCAGAGGAUAAAGAAUCUGCUUGCAACGCAGGAGACCUGGGUUCGAUUCCUGGGGCAGGAA